UCUCAGAUAGCCGAGCCGGUAAAGUCUCGGACGCGCAACUAGACGAGCCGGGUUCAAGCCCCGGUCUUAGAC
Molecule: transfer RNA, 72 nt
Filed under: Cotesia glomerata
Lineage: Eukaryota; Metazoa; Arthropoda; Insecta; Hymenoptera; Braconidae
Description: tRNA-Ala
Source: RNAcentral